RNAcentral lists this long non-coding RNA (1587 nucleotides) under Canis lupus familiaris (dog). Its description in RNAcentral is "lncRNA (ENSCAFG00000058602.1)". Lineage: Eukaryota; Metazoa; Chordata; Mammalia; Carnivora; Canidae. The record is from RNAcentral.
UCAACCAUCAGAUCUAGGGUCCCCUCUCAACAUUUUAGGCUCUAGUGGAUUCUACUUGAUUUGUGAUUAGUGUUGUCAUGACAAAAUGUGGGAUCCUGGUAGGAGAAAGAAGUAUAUGUGUACGUGUGUGUAUGCUGUGUGUGUGUGUACAUUGAUGAUAAGAAUGAUGUUGGUGUCACAGCAAUGAGUGGAUGUCGCUGUGGAAUGCAGGUCAUACCUGGAGUGCCUCUCCCUGUUUUCUUUCAGGCAGACAUCUUCUAUCUAAAGCUGCCAGUGUAUUAACAUCAGACUGGCAAACCAUCUAUGUAAGAACAGGACUGUAUAGGACGUGCUGGUAAACUACAGGUCUAAUAUUUUUUAUUUUUUUAAUAAUAAAUUUAUUUUUUAUUGGCGUUCAAUUUGCCAACAUACAGAAUAACACCCAGUGCUCAUCCCGUCAAGUGCCCCCCUCAGUGCCCGUCACCCAUUCACCCCACCCCCCUGCCCUCCUCCCCUUCCACCACCCCUAGUUCGUUUCCCAGAGUUAGGAGUCUCUAUGUUCUGUCUCCCUUUCUGAUAUUUCCUGCCCAUUUCUUCUCCCUUCCCUUCUAUUCCCUUUCACUAUUAUUUAUAUUCCCCAAAUGAAUGAGUACAGGUCUAAUUUUUAAGCUAAUUCCAGUGAGCAUUGUCUUUAAUUUGUUCUUUUGGAAAAGAGAUUUACUAACCACUUGUACUUUUAAAAUGAUUAUCUGUUGUUGUAUGCUGUAUACAUGCAUGUGCAUGUUCCCUUAGAGCAUGCUAGUUUAUUGAUACAUUUUCCUUUGUGGUAUUUUAAAGGAUCAUUGCUAAUAUGUAAUGGUGAUUUUAUAUGUCAUUUUAUAUAUACAGACAUAUAAUUAUGUCCAUUCUUAUGAUUCUGCGUCACUGAGCACUUUGUCGACUACAUAUCUACCCACCACGUGUCAGGUGUGUGCUUGAUGGAAAUGACACAGUGGUGGGCACGUUAUAGGAUAUGCCUUGUUUCAGUGGCUGGUGGAGGAGAUAGACAGAUAAUUAAAUGGGCCAUGAUAGGGAAGGGCCAUGAUAGGGAGACAGAGGCAUAAUAUAUUCUCCAAUUUGUUAAUUCAUCUUUUCCUCAACUUAUGGCUCUCAGGUGAUAUGAAGAGAUGAUUUAUUACUUGCUAUUAUGUUGCUGAGUUUUAGCAUUUUAUUAAAAUCAAGCCUUAUAUUUUUGUAUUUGAGAAGGUAAAAAGAAAAGUUAAUAUAGUGAGGACCUGUUUUCCUAAAAUCAAAAUUCAAAUAUAUGCAUAUAUUUGAAUCAAUUGAACUUAGAACUUUUCCCUUAAGAAAUAGUUAUUAAACAUAAAUGGACAAAUCUAAUGGUAAUGUUGAAGUAGUUCCAUCGUUUAUCUUGUUUGCCUGCAGGGAGCCAUAGUUGCCUAACCUCAGGUAAAGAAAACCAGUAUGCUUUGGAAAUACACAGAUGUUUUACUCUCUUAGGAAAAAUAGUCUUUUCUCCAUUUAGAAACUAUUUCAUAUUUAAAUUCUCCAGACGUUUUCUUUUUCACUAAGCAGGUACUUUUUAUAAUAAUCUGAGAUAUCUAAAAU